Long non-coding RNA from Formica exsecta, 1927 nucleotides. RefSeq lists it as uncharacterized. The transcript has 4 exons. The record is from RefSeq and is a predicted model, not a curated record. NCBI's taxonomy places the organism in Eukaryota, Metazoa, Arthropoda, Insecta, Hymenoptera, Formicidae.
ACAUUGUUGUCAUUCGCGCGGCGACAAUAGAACAGAUAGGCAGCAACGCGACGCGCUCGUAUACGCAUUAAUUUUCGAGACGCGAUUGUAAAAAGUAUUACGGAAUCAUUUCUCUGAGUGAAUGAUUAAUGUAUAUCAUUUCGCGCAAUUAUUUAACUUGUACGAUUAAGUAACUUGUAUAUUAAGGCGACGAUUUGGUUUCGGAGUAAAUAUUUCGCGCAUUUUAUUCGCGUGAAGUAAGUAUCGCGUCGUAUCAAGUAAAAGCUGCUGACGUCGUUCCGGAGUCGGCGAAGAAACGUUGCAAGCGCGGAAUGGAUCGAUUCUGAAUCGCGACGCAUUUAAUUAAUGACGAGUGCCAUGAAGGAGAGCCAAACAAUGAAAUAAGAGAGAAAGAAGAGGCCUGAAACGGCAUAAAGUUUCGGCAGAGGUGAACCAUAAGAUCAACACUACGUAAUAUGCUGUGCAACUCCGCCGCUGCGCAUCGUACCGAAAACAAGGACGACUGAUACUCUGCCGUUAUGUUUUGAAGACUGCAUCACCGAAAUGAUCGUGCAGGGAGUUGUAACAAAUGCAAUUAGGGUAAUAAUCUCGCGGAUGGCAAUAACACCGUACACAGUUACAUUAUAUGUGGCGGUACACGGGUAAAUGCCACGUUUAUAUUACGCAAUCAAAGCGGUGCCAGCAGAUAUCGUAUGUAACUAUGUGUAACUAAUGCUGUACUAUAUACGCUAUGCGAUAUUAAUGCACCGCCAGAUCCAAUUUACUGCUAUUAAUGCGACAUAGAUACGUCGCUAUUUCACAGUCAUCUUGGGGGGGAAGGGCGCGAUGUAAUCUGAAAUCAAGUAUUCGAUAUACUUCACCUGGUGCCGCCAGUUAAUUACGGUAAAAUGUGGUCGUGAAUCCAUUAGCUAGACUCGACUAGAGACGAUUGCGCAUCGUCAUUCUAUAUAUUAUGUAUGCUACACAUGUCACACAUUGCUUACCAUGAUCAUAUUUUCCUGAAACUGGCAGAUAACUGGACAUGGGUUCUGUUCUCUUUCAUUAUCUGUCAUUUAUAGGAAAAUAUAGUUCGAUAAUUAAAUACAUUUUAUUACGUGUAAUUAUCUACCAUUCUCGAAAAAAUAGUGCUUGACAUUUAUAUGAGAAUUUAAUUGAUAAUAUAAUCUUUAUAUAUGAUAAUAUAAAAAAUCGACAGAUAAAUCGCGAUUCUAGGAUAAAUGAAAUUAUGCAAAAAUUUAUUUGCUACGCGAUAAUUAAAAUUUGAUUUUUCUGUGUGACUGAUGAUAAAAAUAUUAUACGUAAAAUAUAUGUACAAGAUAAAUAUAUCGAUGUUUCGGAGAAAAAAGAAAAAAAAACCGUGAGAUUUGUACGUGUAAAUUCUGACAUACGCGGGAUUCAAUUUUCCGCGUUUCAAAUAAUGAAACAACGUGGCGCGAAUCGCAUUACUUUUGUCAAACUGAGAAGCAACGUUCAUUGUUCUAAGGGUCUCUAAGCUCCGGGGCGUGGUUAUGAGCUAGCUUGGCAUUUAAUCCUGUCGUCGUUGUCCCCGGCUCCGUCACGGUGGUGAAAUAGAGCCGGCGCCUCGUUGUAAAUUCACCCCUGAUUGCGAGCGGCGGUCUUCGUCCGCGCCACCGUUCAUCCUAGGUGCAAAUGCAUUGUUAUAUGAGACCGCUUCCGCGAAAUCAUGAAACGAUAGCUUGGCACCGGCUGGGAGCAACGGUGGCGCCAGAAAUACGCUCUUUGCACGUAAACGUGCUUUAUCUUCGCUUCUUGAAAAUCUAAGAAAUUUUGCAAACGUCGGUUUUGUGUAUGAAAGCAAUGAUUCUUUCACCGAUUAGUUAUUUAAAUUAAAUACGUAUUACGUAUUAAUUACGUAUUACGUAUAGUAAGAAAUAUUUCUUUUUUCAAUUAAUUUUAUUUUUAUCUU